AGCACUUUUUUUGUGGACCAAAUUGAUGAACAGUUGUCCUAUAGGGUUACAUUGCAACCCGGUCUGUGGCUGCCGGUUACAGCGUUCCCGCUUAAUACUGGACCAAUGUCGGGGAUUGU
Long non-coding RNA from Etheostoma spectabile (orangethroat darter), 119 nucleotides. RefSeq lists it as uncharacterized. Lineage: Eukaryota; Metazoa; Chordata; Actinopteri; Perciformes; Percidae. The transcript has 3 exons. The record is from RefSeq and is a predicted model, not a curated record.